CAAGUAUUUAAUGCAGUGCCUAUUGUAGCCUACAGACCUGCUAGUUGACCAAUCACAAAAGUGAAGAAAAAAAUAGUUUUUAUAAAUAUUUCAUGCAAUUUUACCUAAUUUGACAUAUUAACAGAAUAUUUUUUUAAUACCACAUAAAUGACUGAAAUUACAACGUAAGAAAGAUGAGAUGAACACACCAGGCCUAUCAUAUUUCUCCAAUGCUAAAGCAGUAUGUGGUGUUUACAACAUAACUGAUCCUGUUUGUAAAUAAUUAAAUAGUCAACGUCAUUAGGAAUCUCAGUAUGUUUUGUACUUAGGCCUACCAGAAGUUAGGCCUACCUUUCCACCCCAGACAGUAGGUUCUACCUUUCCACCCCAGACAGUAGGUCCUACCUUUCCACCCCAGACAGUAGGUUCUACCUUUCCACCCCAGACAGUAGGUCCUACCUUUCCACCCC
Molecule: long non-coding RNA, 449 nt
Filed under: Salmo salar (Atlantic salmon)
Lineage: Eukaryota; Metazoa; Chordata; Actinopteri; Salmoniformes; Salmonidae
Description: lncRNA (ENSSSAG00000104046.1)
Source: RNAcentral